Molecule: ribosomal RNA, 412 nt
Filed under: uncultured bacterium
Lineage: Bacteria
Description: bacterial SSU rRNA
Rfam family: Bacterial small subunit ribosomal RNA
Source: RNAcentral
GGGAGGCAGCAGUGAGGAAUAUUGGUCAAUGGAGGCAACUCUGAACCAGCCAAGUCGCGUGAAGGAUGAAGGUCUUAUGGAUUGUAAACUUCUUUUGCAAGGGAAUAAAAUGGGGGACGUGUCCUCCUUUGCAUGUACCUUGCGAAUAAGGAUCGGCUAACUCCGUGCCAGCAGCCGCGGUAAUACGGAGGAUCCGAGCGUUAUCCGGAUUUAUUGGGUUUAAAGGGUGCGCAGGCGGGAUGUUAAGUCGGCGGUGAAAUUUUGCAGCUCAACUGUAAAAGUGCCUUCGAUACUGGCUUUCUUGAGUGUGGAUGAAGUAGGCGGAAUUUGUGGUGUAGCGGUGAAAUGCUUAGAUAUCACGCGGAACUCCGAUUGCGCAGGCAGCUUACUAAACCACUACUGACGCUCAUGC